Molecule: ribosomal RNA, 305 nt
Filed under: uncultured bacterium
Lineage: Bacteria
Description: partial 16S ribosomal RNA
Rfam family: Bacterial small subunit ribosomal RNA
Source: RNAcentral
UGCCUACGGGGGGCAGCAGUGGGGGAUAUUGCACAAUGGGGGGAACCCUGAUGCAGCGACGCCGCGUGGGUGAAGAAGCGCCUCGGCGCGUAAAGCCCUGUCAGCAGGGAAGAAAAUGACGGUACCUGAAGAAGAAGCCCCGGCUAACUACGUGCCAGCAGCCGCGGUAAUACGUAGGGGGCAAGCGUUAUCCGGAUUUACUGGGUGUAAAGGGGGCGCAGACGGCAAUGCAAGCCAGGAGUGAAAGCCCGGGGCCCAACCCCGGGACUGCUCUUGGAACUGCAUGGCUGGAGUACAGGAGGCGG